AUGCUCACUUCAGCAGCACAUAUACUAAAACUAGAAUGAUACAGAGAACAUUAGCAUGACCCCUGCACAAGGAUGACACACAACAUCUUAAAAAAAAAAUUCAU
This is a small nuclear RNA of Zalophus californianus (California sea lion), 104 nucleotides long. NCBI's taxonomy places the organism in Eukaryota, Metazoa, Chordata, Mammalia, Carnivora, Otariidae. The record is from Ensembl.